GGGGGCGUACCGGUUUCGACGGGAACGCUUGCGCUUAGGAGGCAUGCCGGGGGUCCACACCACCCGUAAUCGGAGUGGGACAAAGACAACUGCCAACACGCAGUAUGCCUACGCUGCCUAAUUAAUUAGGUGGCCGUCUCCUUCGUCAGGCCCGCAGGGCGAAACGAGGCGUCGAUUAGCGGGCUGGCCUGCGGUUGGCCGCCUGAGAGCCGCAGGCGAGAUCUCCGCCGAAAGGUGGACAGGCUAGUCGGUAGCCCGUUAUUGCCCGUUCCUGAGAGCUGCUGGCGAAAGCAGGAAGCGAACGGGAUAAGCAUGUAGGCUCCUAACCGUUGGCCUCUUCGGACGGGGGUUCGACUCCCCCCGCCUCCACCA
Molecule: transfer-messenger RNA, 372 nt
Filed under: Terriglobia
Lineage: Bacteria; Pseudomonadati; Acidobacteriota
Also listed under: 1 other name
Description: JALHUF01 sp022866195 Standard tmRNA
Rfam family: transfer-messenger RNA
About the family: Bacterial tmRNA, also known as 10Sa RNA or SsrA, is named for its dual tRNA and mRNA-like properties.
Source: RNAcentral